RNAcentral lists this ribosomal RNA (424 nucleotides) under uncultured bacterium. RNAcentral describes it as "partial 16S ribosomal RNA". It matches the Rfam family "Bacterial small subunit ribosomal RNA", at positions 360 to 776 of the family's 1533-position model. The record is from RNAcentral.
AAUUUUGGACAAUGGGGGAAACCCUGAUCCAGCCAUCCCGUGUGUAUGAUGAAGGCCUUCGGGUUGUAAAGUACUUUUGGCUGAGAAUAAAAGGUAUCCCCUAAUACGGGAUACUACUGACGGUAUCUGCAGAUUACGCACCGUCUAACUACGCGCCAGCAGCCGCGGUAAUACGUAGGGUGCAAGCGUUAAUCGGAAUUACUUGGCAUAACGCGUGUGUAGGCGGUUGGGAAAGAAAGAUGUGAAAUCCCAGGGCUCAACCUUGGAACUGCAUUUUUAACUGACGAGCUAGAGUAUGUCAGAGGGGGGUAGAAAUCCAAGUGUAGCAGUGAAAUGCGUAGAUAUGUGGAGGAAUACCGAUGGCGAAGGCAGCCCCCUGGGAUAAUACUGACGCUCAGACACGAAAGCGUGGGGAGCAAACAGG